Molecule: ribosomal RNA, 232 nt
Filed under: uncultured Burkholderiales bacterium
Lineage: Bacteria; Pseudomonadati; Pseudomonadota; Betaproteobacteria; Burkholderiales
Description: partial 16S ribosomal RNA
Rfam family: Bacterial small subunit ribosomal RNA
Source: RNAcentral
CGAACGGGUGAGUAAUACAUCGGAACGUGCCCUGUAGUGGGGGAUAACUAGUCGAAAGAUUAGCUAAUACCGCAUACGACCUGAGGGUGAAAGUGGGGGACCGCAAGGCCUCAUGCUAUAGGAGCGGCCGAUGUCUGAUUAGCUAGUUGGUGGGGUAAAGGCCCACCAAGGCGACGAUCAGUAGCUGGUCUGAGAGGACGAUCAGCCACACUGGGACUGAGACACGGCCCAG